AAUUUCAGGUAAUCGCGGGUAUAUGCAUAUACCUGAGGAAAGUCCAUGCUCGCACAAGCUGAAACGCUUGUAGUGUUCGUGUUUAGCGAAAAAAUAAGCUAAAGCAUUCAUUUGACGGCAACUGAACCCACUAAGGUCACUGGACUAUGUGCAAGUAAGUUUGAAAGUGCCACAGAGACGAGUCAACUAUGAAAAUAGUUGAAUGGAACGCGGUAAACCCCUCGAGCGAGCAACCCAAACAUUGGUAGGGGCGCUCUUUGACUGGAAAUAAACGGAAUAAGAGACUAAAUGAUUUAGUAGACAGAUGAUUACCGAACCGGUAUUAAACCUGUGAUAUCGGGGAACAGAACAUGGCUUAUCGAA
This 363-nucleotide RNase P RNA is filed under the name Aerococcus viridans. RNAcentral's name for it is "RNase P RNA component class B". It matches the Rfam family "Bacterial RNase P class B". Rfam says of the family: Ribonuclease P (RNase P) is a ubiquitous endoribonuclease, found in archaea, bacteria and eukarya as well as chloroplasts and mitochondria. Its best characterised activity is the generation of mature 5'-ends of tRNAs by cleaving the 5'-leader elements of precursor-tRNAs. Cellular RNase Ps are ribonucleoproteins. Lineage: Bacteria; Bacillati; Bacillota; Bacilli; Lactobacillales; Aerococcaceae. RNAcentral also lists the same sequence under 2 other names. The record is from RNAcentral.